RNAcentral lists this ribosomal RNA (402 nucleotides) under uncultured bacterium. Its description in RNAcentral is "partial 16S ribosomal RNA". It matches the Rfam family "Bacterial small subunit ribosomal RNA", at positions 338 to 732 of the family's 1533-position model. The record is from RNAcentral.
UCUACGGGAGGCAGCAGUGGGGAAUUUUGCGCAAUGCUCGUAAGAGUGACGCAGCGACGCCGCGUGAGUGACGGAGGCCUUCGGGUCGUAAAGUUCUUGCGACGGGGAAGCAAAUGCCUAUAAGUGACUGUGUAUGUGUUGACGGUACCUGUAUAAGCAGCGCCGGCUAUCUCGGUGCCAGCAGCCGCGGUACUACGGGGGUGGCGAGCGGUGUUCGGAGUGACUGGUCGUAAAGAGCGCGUAGGCGGUGUUGUAAGUCAUUAGUCAAAGACUAGAGCUCAACUCUAGUACGGCUAGUGAUAGUACAAUACUAGAGUAUUAGAGAGGAUUGCAGAAUUCCUGGUGUAGCGGUGAAAUGCGGAGAUAUCAGGAGGAACACUGUUAGCGAAGGCGGCUACCUGG